Molecule: small RNA, 159 nt
Filed under: Zonotrichia albicollis (white-throated sparrow)
Lineage: Eukaryota; Metazoa; Chordata; Aves; Passeriformes; Passerellidae
Description: TUC338 (ENSZALG00000003951.1)
Source: RNAcentral
UUGACAGCCCUGAAGACCGAAGUCCUUUAUUUAUGCAUGAGCAGCAACAGUUCUGCCUUUCCCACACUGCCCUCCUGAUAUGCUUCACCCAUGACCUGAGGGAUCCCCCUUAAGGGUGACAGCUUUGUAGCUUUCACACCCAUUCACUCUCCAGUCCUU